AGUUUGAUCAUGGCUCAGAUUGAACGCUGGCGGAUGCUUUACAUAUGCAAGCUUCAACGGCAGCACGGACUUCGGUCUGGUGGCGAGUGGCGAACGGGUGAGUAAUGUAUCGGAACGUGCCUAGUAGCGGGGGAUAACUACGCGAAAGCGUAGCUAAUACCGCAUACACCCUUCGGGAAAGUGUGAUCUUCGCCUGCACUAUUAGAGCGGCCGAUAUCGAUUAGCGAAGUUGGUGGGGUAACGGCUCACCAUGCGACGAUCCGUAUUGGUUUGAGGACGACCAGCCACACUGGGACUGGAGACACGGCCCAGACCGCAUGGGAGGCAGCAGUGGGGUUCUUGGACAUUGGGAGAAACCCUGAUCCAGCCAUCCCUGCGUAUGCCUUCGCUGUAAAGGGCACUUUUGGUGGUGAAAAACGGCACGGGAUAAUACUCCCGUGCAACUGACGGUACCUGCAGAAUAAGCACCGCCAACUACGCCAGCAGCCGCGGUAAUACGUAGGUGCAAGCGUUAAUCGGAAUUACUGGGCGUAAAACGCGCAGGCGGUUCGGAAAGAAAGAUGUGAAAUCCCAGAGCUAACUUUGAACCGCAUUUUUAACUGUCGAGCUAGAGUGUGUCAGAGGGAGGCGUGGAAUUCCGGGCGCGGGAACACAGUGAAAUGCGUAGAUAUGUGCGGAGUGAACACCGAUGGUGAAGGCAGCCUCCUGGGAUAACACUGACGUCACGCACUGAAAGCGGGGAGCAAACAGGAUUAGAUACCCGGUAGUCCACGCCCUAACGAUGUCAUAACUAGCUGUUGGGCCUUCGGGCUGGUAGCGCAGCUACGCGUGAAGUUGACCGCCUGGGGAGUACGGUCGCAGAUUUAAAACUCAAAGGAAUUGACGGGGACCCACGGGGUUGCGGAUGAUGUGGAUUAAUUCGAUGCACCGCGAAAACCUUACCUACCCCUUGACAUGUCUGGAAUCCCGAAGAGAUUUGGGAGUGCUCAAGAGAACCGGAACACAGGUAUGCAUGGCUGUCGUCAGCUCGUGUCGGAGAUGCUGGGUUAAGUCCCGCAACGAGCGCAACCUUUGUCACAUAGUUACAUGAAAGUACCGAAUGAGAUUGCCGGUGACAACCGAGAAGGUGGGGAUGUCAAGUCCUCAUGGCCUUAUGGGUAGGGCUUCUCACACGUCAGCGCGCAAUGGUCGGGACAGAGGGUCGCCAACCCGCGAGGGGGAGUCAAUCCAAACCGAUCGUAGGUCCGGAUCGCAGUCUGCAACUCGACUGCGUGAAGCCUGAAUCGUGCGUAAUCGCGAUCAGCAUGCGGUGAAUACGUUCCCGGGUCUUGCACACACCGCCUGUCACACCAUGGGAGUGGGUUUUACCAGGAAGUGCAGCGAGCCCAACCGCGAGGGCGAUUACCACGGUAGGAUUCAUGACUGGGGUGUCGUACGCUGCAA
RNAcentral lists this ribosomal RNA (1443 nucleotides) under uncultured Bordetella sp. RNAcentral's name for it is "partial 16S-23S ribosomal RNA intergenic spacer". It matches the Rfam family "Bacterial small subunit ribosomal RNA". Lineage: Bacteria; Pseudomonadati; Pseudomonadota; Betaproteobacteria; Burkholderiales; Alcaligenaceae. The record is from RNAcentral.